GCGGCCAUAGCUCAAUUGGAUAGAGCAUCAGUCUACGGAACUGAGGGUUGGCGGUUCAAAUCCGUCUGGCCGCA
RNAcentral lists this transfer RNA (74 nucleotides) under Candidatus Abzuiibacterium crystallinum. Its description in RNAcentral is "Candidatus Omnitrophica bacterium CG11_big_fil_rev_8_21_14_0_20_45_26 tRNA-Arg". It matches the Rfam family "tRNA". Rfam says of the family: Transfer RNA (tRNA) molecules are approximately 80 nucleotides in length. Their secondary structure includes four short double-helical elements and three loops (D, anti-codon, and T loops). The record is from RNAcentral. Lineage: Bacteria; Pseudomonadati; Candidatus Omnitrophota. RNAcentral also lists the same sequence under 2 other names.